RNAcentral lists this ribosomal RNA (411 nucleotides) under uncultured bacterium. RNAcentral's name for it is "bacterial SSU rRNA". It matches the Rfam family "Bacterial small subunit ribosomal RNA", at positions 355 to 774 of the family's 1533-position model. The record is from RNAcentral.
UCGAGGAUCUUCGGCAAUGGGCGAAAGCCUGACCGAGCGACGCCGCGUGUGCGAUGAAGGCCUUCGGGUUGUAAAGCACUGUCGUGGGGGAGAAAGACCGCAAGGUUUGAUCGACCUCAGGAGGAAGCUCGGGCUAAGUUCGUGCCAGCAGCCGCGGUAAGACGAACCGAGCGAACGUUAUUCGGAAUCACUGGGCUUAAAGGGCGCGUAGGCGGGCGAUCAAGUCAGGGGUGAAAGCCCCCAGCUCAACUGGGGAAGUGCCUUUGAUACUGGUCGUCUCGAGCGAGGUAGGGGCGUGCGGAACUUCCGGUGGAGCGGUGAAAUGCGUAGAUAUCGGAAGGAACACCGGUGGCGAAAGCGGCGCGCUGGACCUCUUCUGACGCUGAGGCGCGAAAGCCAGGGGAGCGAACG